CCUACGGGAGGCAGCAGUGGGGAAUAUUGCACAAUGGGGGAAACCCUGAUGCAGCGACGCCGCGUGAGUGAGGAAGUAUUUCGGUAUGUAAAGCUCUAUCAGCAGGGAAGAAAAUGACGGUACCUGACUAAGAAGCCCCGGCUAACUACGUCCCAGCAGCCGCGGUAAUACGUAGGGGGCAAGCGUUAUCCGGAUUUACUGGGUGUAAAGGGAGCGUAGACGGCUAAUCAAGUCAGAAGUGAAAACCCCGGGCUCAACCUUGGGACUGCUUUUGAAACUGAGUAGCUAGAGUGCAGGAGAGGUAAGCGGAAUUCCUAGUGUAGCGGGGAAAUGCGGAGAUAUUAGGAGGAACACCAGUGGCGAAGGCGGCUUACUGGACUGUAACUGACGUUGAGGCUCGAAAGCGUGGGGAGCAAACAGGAUUAGAUACCCCUGUAGUC
This 440-nucleotide ribosomal RNA is filed under the name uncultured bacterium. RNAcentral's name for it is "partial 16S ribosomal RNA". It matches the Rfam family "Bacterial small subunit ribosomal RNA", at positions 338 to 795 of the family's 1533-position model. The record is from RNAcentral.